Molecule: ribosomal RNA, 253 nt
Filed under: uncultured bacterium
Lineage: Bacteria
Description: partial 16S ribosomal RNA
Rfam family: Bacterial small subunit ribosomal RNA
Source: RNAcentral
GACGUAGGGGGCAAGCGUUGUCCGGAAUCAUUGAGCGUAAAGCGCACGUAGGCGGCUUUCUAAGUCGGGGGUGAAAUCCUGGAGCUCAACUCCAGAACUGCCUUCGAUACUGGAAAGCUCGAGUCCGGGAGAGGUGAGUGGAACUGCGAGUGUAGAGGUGAAAUUCGUAGAUAUUCGCAAGAACACCAGUGGCGAAGGCGGCUCACUGGCCCGGUACUGACGCUGAGAUGCGAAAGCGUGGGGAGCAAACAGG